UCGUUGCUGUAGCAAUACAGCGGCGGUCCUAGUGGCGCACGGGUGAGUAACACGUGGGCAACCUGCCCUGGAGUUCGGGAUACCCUUUCGAAAGGAAGGCUAAUACCGGAUACGUUCCCCGGGUCGCGAGACCUGGGGAGGAAAGGUGGCGCAAGCUGCCGCUCUUGGAGGGGCUCGCGGCCUAUCAGCUAGUUGGUGAGGUAACGGCUCACCAAGGCUAUGACGGGUAGCUGGUCUGAGAGGACGACCAGCCACACGGGAACUGAGACACGGUCCCGACUCCUACGGGAGGCAGCAGUGGGGAAUUUUCCGCAAUGGGCGAAAGCCUGACGGAGUGACGCCGCGUGGGGGACGAAGGCCUUCGGGUCGUAAACCCCUGUCAGAGGGAAAGAAGGGUGUCGGCGCGAAUACCGCCGGCAUCUGACGGUACCUUCAGAGGAAGCCCCGGCCAACUCUGUGCCAGCAGCCGCGGUAAGACAGAGGGGGCAAGCGUUGCUCGGAAUCACUGGGCGUAAAGGGCGCGUAGGCGGGAUGGCAAGUCGGUCGUGAAAUCCUUCGGCUCAACCGAAGAACGUCGAUCGAAACUGCCGUUCUUGAGGGAUGCAGAGGAGACUGGAAUUCCCGGUGUAGCGGUGAAAUGUGUA
RNAcentral lists this ribosomal RNA (644 nucleotides) under uncultured bacterium. RNAcentral describes it as "bacterial SSU rRNA". It matches the Rfam family "Bacterial small subunit ribosomal RNA", at positions 68 to 692 of the family's 1533-position model. The record is from RNAcentral.